GACGAACGCUGGCGGCGUGCCUAACACAUGCAAGUCGAACGAAAAGACCAGGAGUUUGCGCCUCUGACGUUAGCGGCGGACGGGAGAGUCACACGUGUAUACCCUACCUAUACGACUGGGAUAAUUACGGGAAACCGGAUCUUAUACCGUAUGAUAUAUUGCACCGCAUUGUUCAAUAGUGAAAUUCGGUUUUUCUGUCACUAAUAGCUUGAUCCGGGCAGCAUUAGUUGGUUGUUAAGGUAACGGCUUACCAAGGCUACGACGCGUAGACGACCUCAGAGGGUGGUCGGCCACACGGGAGGUGAGACAGGGUCCAGACACCUGCGGGAGGCAGCAGUAGGGAAUCUUACGCAAAGGGGGAGAGCAUGACAGAGCAACGGGGCGUGAGUGAUGAAGGUGUUGGGAUCGGGAAGCUCUGUUAUUAGGGGAGAACAAAUGUGUAAGUACCUGUGCAGGUAGUGACGGUACCGGGUCAAAAAGCCACGGCUAACUACGUG
Molecule: ribosomal RNA, 497 nt
Filed under: uncultured bacterium
Lineage: Bacteria
Description: partial 16S ribosomal RNA
Rfam family: Bacterial small subunit ribosomal RNA
Source: RNAcentral